CCUUUUAAUUUGGUUUCCCUUUAAAAGCUCGUAGUUGGAUUUUGGUUAAGAGGGCGCGGUCGGCCGUUUGGUCUGUACUGUUUUUGUCUUGACUUCCUGAUGAGGACAUGCUCUUGGUUAACGCUGACACAUGGAGUCAUCGUGGUUACUUUGAAAAAAUUAGAGUGUUCAAAGCGGGCUUACGCUUGAAUAUAUUAGCAUGGAAUAACACUAUAGGACUCCUGUCCUAUCUCGUUGGUCUCGGGAUGGGAGUAAUGAUUAAGAGGAACAAUUGGGGGCAUUCGUAUUUCAUUGUCGGAGGUGAAAUUCUUGGAUUUAUGAAAGACGAACUUCUGCGAAAGCAUUUGCCAAGGAUGUUUUCAUUAGUCAAGAACGAAAGUUGGGGGCUCGCGAUGAUUAGAUACCAUCCUAGCCUCAGCCAUAAACGCUGCCGACUAUGUUUUGGUGGAUGUUAAUUGAUGACUUCACCAGCACCUUUUGAGAAAUCAAUGUUUUUGGGUUCCGGGGCGUGUAUGGCCUCAUGGCUGGAACUUGAAGGAAUGGCGGAUGAGCACCACCGGGCGUGGGGCCUGACGCUUAGUUGGACUGAAAUCGGAAAUCUAACCAACCCGGGACACUGAAAUUUCGCAAGACGAUGACUCUGUCUGAUUCGGUAGGGCAUGGCGAUUCGGCAUUUAGUUGAGGCAAGUGGAGGCGGGAAUUCGAUGCGAACGGACUCCUCCUGCUCAACAUGCACCCCCCUUUUGGUAGAUAUUCAUUGUCUGGACUCGUGAGAAUGAGGGGACGAAAACAAUAGUG
RNAcentral lists this ribosomal RNA (798 nucleotides) under uncultured eukaryote. RNAcentral's name for it is "bacterial SSU rRNA". It matches the Rfam family "Eukaryotic small subunit ribosomal RNA", at positions 600 to 1402 of the family's 1831-position model. The record is from RNAcentral.